This is a long non-coding RNA of Cygnus atratus (black swan), 1133 nucleotides long. RefSeq lists it as uncharacterized. The transcript has 2 exons. NCBI's taxonomy places the organism in Eukaryota, Metazoa, Chordata, Aves, Anseriformes, Anatidae. The record is from RefSeq and is a predicted model, not a curated record.
GGAGCAUCCCCGGGUCCAAGCCGCGGAGUCUCCCCCGCGGGGGGAGGUGGAAGCGGCCCCCCCCCCCCCCCCCGGGGGCUGUGGGUACGGAGGAGGAUGAAGAUGAGGAUGGCGGUGCCGGAGCUCCGGGAGCGGUUUGGGCGCAGGCAGGAGCCGCGGGGGGGUUGCGGCUGGGAGGCUCGGCCCGCAGGAGGGUCGGUGGUGACGGCUCGGGGUGCGGGCGCCUGACAGGGGAGCCACGGCGCUGCCGCAGGGACCGCGGCCACCCAGCCGAGGAUGGAUGCUUCAGCUGCGAGCACAGAGGGAGGAAAAGCGGAGGCAGCACGACACGUCUGGCACCCAGCAGGGGAGCAGGGUGCACCCGGGGCCGUGGCGAGCUCCUGCACCCAGCACCGGCCAUGGGAACAGCCCCGGCGCAGCCACCCAGCGUGCGCUCGCUGUGACUCACGUCCCCGCUCGGCGAGGGGUCCUCCCGCACUGACCUCGCUCCGCUGGCUCCCACGCAGGGCAGAGAUGACUGAAUUACUGCUCCCUGCUGGGCUCUGCAAAUUCUCCUCUUGGCCGGGCGGCUUCCAGGCCGGAUACGUGGGGCUGGAUGGCUAAGUGCUCUCAGGUCAAACAGUAGCUCCGAUUUUUCCCCUGUGAAGGACCAAGCGCUUGCCCGGUUCCAAGGAAGCAGCUGUGGAAUUUUAUUUUAUUUUAUUUUUUUGUACCCCUCUGCUCUUCCUUCUGACUCUUUUCAUGGUCUUGGGGUUUUCACGAGGAUGGUUGGACCCAGCCCGCAGCGCCAAGUGCGGUCUCCUGCAGAGGGACGAAAGCCUCCGGAGGAGCCGCGUGCCAGGACCGAGGUGGCAGCCUCAAUGCUGUGGGUUUGAACCUGUCUGGGAGAGUGUCCCCUUGUGUCACCAGCAUUGCACGGCCGUGUGUCACCCAUGGGGGUUCCCGCCUGGUGCAGUACAGGAGUCGCCGGCUGCCCCCGGGGCUGAACAUCCUCCUCCCUGCCACAUCCCCCGUGGGACGAGGAGGGGCUGGGGGGCACGGGGCCAGGCCGCAGCGAGGGGAAUGUCAGGACGGGGAAAAAUGUCACCCCCAGAAACAAUUAAAAGGCUUAAUAAAAUCCUUUGCCUCUCUGA